This 579-nucleotide ribosomal RNA is filed under the name fungal sp. ARIZ L131. RNAcentral's name for it is "eukaryotic LSU rRNA". The stretch from base 268 to 421 matches the Rfam family "5.8S ribosomal RNA". Lineage: Eukaryota; Fungi. The record is from RNAcentral.
CGGAGGGAUCAUUACUGAGUUAUCAAAACUCCAAACCCUUUGUGAACCCUACCAUCGUUGCCUCGGCGUGAGCUACGGCUACCCUGUAACUACCCUGGAGCUACCCUAGAGUUACCCUAUAGCUACCCUGCACUUACCCUGCAGCUACCCUAUACCUACCCUGGAGCUACCCUGGAGCUACCCUGUAGUCGGCUUCGGCCCGCCGAAGGACCGUUAAACUCUUGUUUUUACCACUGUUUCUCUGAAUUUUAAACUAAAAUUAGUUAAAACUUUCAACAACGGAUCUCUUGGUUCUGGCAUCGAUGAAGAACGCAGCGAAAUGCGAUAAGUAAUGUGAAUUGCAGAAUUCAGUGAAUCAUCGAAUCUUUGAACGCACAUUGCGCCCAUUAGUAUUCUAGUGGGCAUGCCUAUUCGAGCGUCAUUUCGACCCCUAAGCCCCUGUUGCUUAGCGUUGGGAAUCUACGGCGUAGUUCCUCAAAGUUAGUGGCGGAGUUAGGGUACACUCUCAGCGUAGUAAUUUCUCUCGCUCGUGUGGUGGCCCUGGCUGCUAGCCGUUAAAACCCCUAUAUUUUCUAGUGG